RNAcentral lists this unclassified non-coding RNA (418 nucleotides) under soil metagenome. RNAcentral describes it as "partial contains 5.8S ribosomal RNA, internal transcribed spacer 2, and large subunit ribosomal RNA". The stretch from base 1 to 120 matches the Rfam family "5.8S ribosomal RNA", at positions 35 to 154 of the family's 154-position model. The record is from RNAcentral.
GAUGAAGAACGUAGCGAAAUGCGAUAAGUAAUGUGAAUUGCAGAAUUCAGUGAAUCAUCGAAUCUUUGAACGCACCUUGCGCUCCUUGGUAUUCCAAAGAGCAUGCCUGUUUGAGUAUCAUUAAAUUAUCAACUGUACCAAUUUGGUUGCAGAUUGGAUGUGGGAGAUUUUGCAGGCUUUUGAUUUCUCUUUGAGAAAACGGUCAGCUCUCCUGAAAUAUAUUAGCAGUGCCUUUGUUGGUUCAUUAGGUGUGAUAAUUUAUCUACAUCUUCACAUGGUACCUUCAUUUGUGUAAAGGUCAUAUUGCUUCUAAUUGUCUUUGGACAUAAAUAAAAAAAAACAUAUAAUUGUAUGGAAAACUUGAUCUCAAAUCAGGCAGGACUACCCGCUGAACUUAAGCAUAUCAAUAAGCGGAGGA